This 794-nucleotide long non-coding RNA is filed under the name Zea mays. RNAcentral's name for it is "drought responsive lncRNA". Lineage: Eukaryota; Viridiplantae; Streptophyta; Magnoliopsida; Poales; Poaceae. The record is from RNAcentral.
CUUUAUUUCAAUCUGCCAAUGCUCUUGGUAAUUCCAGUUUGCCUAAUAGUCAACUUGUUUUUUUGUAAUGUUCGAGCAUUCGCUGAAAUUACUGAUCGUAUUCAAAAUUGUUGCUAAAUUGACGAUUAACCCUUGUUUCCAUGGAUAGCGAGAGGUGUGACGUGGUAUGUUUAUAGCUAUUGUGCAGUAUACACCUUGCUUACAGGUUGCCACAACUCCGCCGGUUGGAUCCACUAAACUUCCAAUGUGUCCUGUUUGCAUUGGUGUGCUUACAGUUUUGUAUUUUUGUUUCUUAGGGCCCACGCCACCAUGAUGUCACAUUUCAAUUCAUUUUGUGACCUCUGAUGAAGAGAUUUAAACACAUCUGUUCUAUCCUAUCCAUAGUUUUAACUUCAAAUAUUGUUCUAUUUAAUGCCACAACAACAUAUAUCUUUACUAUGUCAUAUUAUAUAUGAUUUUGUUGGCUUACAACCUCUCGAUAGGGCGCCCGAAUGGGCGCCUCAUGUUCUAGUUAUAUUUAUGACGUAUCUUAUAUAAUUUUCCCUCCGUAAUCCAUGCAGCGUGUCAAUGGAUGUUUGCAAAGACAACAGAUGCCAAUGCAGACUGGCUUCUUCCUAACAACAAACCUCAACAAGCCAAGAGAGACGACAAUUGGCGACGUAGGAAAAAAGACGCAUUAAUCAAUAACGUGUGGAUUCCUGGCAGUGGCGUAGACAAGGGGCUCUAAGGUUUGUACAAACAUAUAAAUACAUAUUAAUUACUACUAUUUUUUAAAUAGUUAAGUAUAUAAAAAC